AACAAAGUAUGAACUCAAUUUAUGUUACACACACUUCCUUUUAUAGAGGAAGUGCAAGGCAAAGCAUGGGUAAAAUGGAGUGGUGUUGAAAUGAUUCAAAGGUGAAAGUGAAGUAAUGAUGCAAAGCAUGGGUAAAAUGGAGUGGUGUUGAAAUGAUUUAAAGGUGAAAGUGAAGUAAUGAUGCAAAGCAUGGGUAAAAUGGAGUGGUGUUGAAAUGAUUCAAAGGUGAAAGUGAAGUGAUGAUUGAUGCAAGAAUUAAACAUGGAUGGAGUGCACGGCAAAGGUUUGUUAUGGUACAAGGAACCCUUAAUUUGUGUCCUAAAAUGCAUAGGAAACCUUCAAUGUUGCUGGAACUUAGGGACAUUUAGGAUUUAGGAAAGAUCAAACCAAAAUAGGAAACCUUGGCUUAACUUUCCUACUUCAAGUAGGAAUCCUCAUCUUUAGGUCUUCAAUUUCGUCCAUUCCUUUAAUUCCAAGCAUGUGAUAUUUAUUCCAAGCCCAAAAUUGCUCCAAAAGGCUCCAAAAUGCACAUUUUUGCAUACUUUGUCCUUAGAACCAGAAAUUGCACA
This 569-nucleotide long non-coding RNA is filed under the name Malus domestica (apple). Its description in RNAcentral is "long non-coding RNA (MDOM_LNC002974)". The record is from RNAcentral. Lineage: Eukaryota; Viridiplantae; Streptophyta; Magnoliopsida; Rosales; Rosaceae.